Long non-coding RNA from Clupea harengus (Atlantic herring), 342 nucleotides. The record is from Ensembl. Lineage: Eukaryota; Metazoa; Chordata; Actinopteri; Clupeiformes; Clupeidae.
CACCAAGCAGUACCUACACUAGGGCGCUAUGUCACCAAAGAAAAACUGAAUGCAAGGUCAAAAAAAAAUGAGAAGUACAAGUGUAAAUAAUAUCAACUGAAUACACUACAAUGAUCAAAUAUACCCUAAUGCAUCAGAUGUAAAGAGCCCAAACCUGAACGAGUGAGUGACUGAGAUAAAGAGAUAGAAGAGUGAGUGAAUGAGAUAAAGAGAUAGAAGAGUGAGUGAAUGAGAUAAAGAGAUAGAAGAGUGAGUGACUGAGAUAAAGAGGUAGAAGAUGAAUGAGAUAAAGAGAUAGAAGAGUGAGUGAAUGAGAUAAAGAGAUAGAAGAGUGAGUGAAUG